This 1771-nucleotide long non-coding RNA is filed under the name Mus musculus (house mouse). Its description in RNAcentral is "long non-coding RNA chr9:70195704-70197475". Lineage: Eukaryota; Metazoa; Chordata; Mammalia; Rodentia; Muridae. The record is from RNAcentral.
GCUUUUGGGAUAGCAUUGGAAAUGUAAUUGAAGAAAAUACGUAAUAAAAAAAAAGAAAAAAAAAUCUUCUGUUUUACAGAUAAGAAAAGCAUGCCAGAGGUGGUGCUGCAAUGCCUUUAAUCCCAGUACUUGGGAAGCAGAGACAGGCAGAUCUCUGAGUUCAAGAUGAGCCUGGCCUACAAAGCAAAUUCCAGGACAGACAGGGCUACACAGAGAAACCCUGUAUAUAUAUAUUUGUGUGUGUGUGUGUGUAUGUGUGUGUACACACGUAUGCACACCUGUGUUUGACUUAUAGGUACGUAAAUUCAUUAACUUACAUCUUUUUUGGUUUGGCUUGGUUUUUGAGACAGGGUCUUUCUACAUAGACUUGGCUAUCCUGAAACUCACUAUGUAGACCAGGCUGGUCUCACACUCACAGAAAUCCAUGUGCCUCUGCCUCUCAAGUCCUGGGACUAAAUGUGUGUGCCACCAUGCCCAGCUGAACCCACAUCUUAAAGCUAUACACUAUUCUGCUGGGAAGGAGAAGUCCAGAUAUUUUAUUUUAUACAUUUUUUUUUACUUCAUGCAUUUUAUUUUAUUUUAUUUUAUUUUAUUUUAUUUUAUUUUAUUUUCAGACAGGUCUGCAACUCACUGUGUAGCCAAGGAUGACCUUGAACUUCUGCUCCUCCUGGCUCUACCUUCCGAGUGUUGAUUUUCCAGGCAUGUGGCACCAUGCCUUGUUUAUACAAUGCCGGGAAUUGAUGUUGGAGCUUCAUAUAUGCUAAGUAAGCAUUGACCAACUGAGAUGUUUGAAAAUCAUCUGCCAGACUCCAGAAUAAUAGCUUAACUGUGUGUGCACAAGACAAAGCACUGCUGGGAAUUAUUCUAGGUUUGGGAUGCCUUUAGAUUUCACAAUCUGAUUUGGUUGUGUUUUUAGGAACACAUAUAAGAGCAGUGAGCUCCUCUGUUGAUGCAGAUGUUCUUUAUAUGACAGAAAGAUUUUAGUCCCAUCAGGGCAGGCACUUGUCUGAUUCUUCUCCAGGGCCUGUACCAGGACUCAGUGACGGCUGCUUGCAGUGGGUAGGUGGACCAAUAAUGGUUUGGGCACUGGGAUACACAUCUUAAGCAUGGAGCCCUGGGUUCAAUGCCCAGCACCACAAAACAAAACAAGACAGAACAAAAGCAAAAACAAAACAGUCCAAAGGGAAAGUGAUGGUCUGGAAGCCAUAUUAUCAACAUGCUGAGCACCAGCAAUAAGAAAUGUUCUAAUCAAAAUGAAUCCCAGUCUGGGAGAUGUCUCAUGGGUUGUUGCGGGGAAUAUUACAAAACAAGUCUGUAUGUCCCUGCGCUUGUGCUGCCUACUCUCUGCCCUGACGGUGGCCUGGCCGGUCAUGCACUGGCGGGGAAUGGCUGACCUCCUUUUAUCUUGUGGAGACUCUGACUCAGAACUCCACAAUCUCUCCACCCAACUUGCUAGGUUCCCAUUGUCAAGUUGUUACCACGCCAACCACAUGCUUCAAAUUCCCCCACGGCCUUUGUGGUGCACCUCAGGCAAACCCACGCUUUGCCACCAUACCUUUCUUUCUUGAAUCCAGACGAGCCGCUGCGUGAAGGAAAACACAACACAAACUUAGCUCAGAAAUGAAGGUAACUCAAUCACUGGGCACAGCAACUAAAAUCUCAAUCUUGUAAGCCUUGUUAAAUCUAAAUCCUCUGAUGGCGAACCCUAAAGGAUCCGCCAUUGAAACUGGGAGACCCGUAGCUACAUCCUGUUCUCAGGCUACCCUCGUCC